UUAAUAUUUUUCUCGAUAACACGACGUUUCUCUUGAUAUCGAUGUUGGGCUAUGUUUUGCAAAACAUCGUCUGUAGCGCUUAACAGCAGUGUAUGGAGUUGCAAGGAGAACUCACCUGGCCACCGCUGUGAAGGACAGCUCCACGUUGAGUCCGGUCUUGGCCGAGGUCUCCAUGAAGGGCACGUUGUGCUCCCGCCCCAAACGCUCCCCAUCCUCCCGCUUCACCUGCCGCUCGCUGCCGCUGCAGUCGGCCUUGUUGCCUGCGGAUUGAAGCCAAAAGUGGAUUCGAUUCGAAGCUCGCGCGAAUGUUGUCAUAGGUGGUCUUGUUGGUCACGUCGUACAGCAGCAGCAGAGCUUCGGUUGAAAAAUGCAAUUAGGUUCAGUCGCAA
This is a long non-coding RNA of Drosophila mauritiana, 389 nucleotides long. RefSeq lists it as uncharacterized. NCBI's taxonomy places the organism in Eukaryota, Metazoa, Arthropoda, Insecta, Diptera, Drosophilidae. The transcript is spliced from 3 exons. The record is from RefSeq and is a predicted model, not a curated record.